CCUGAGAAACCCGAAAGAUCGAAUGGGGAGAUUCAUCGUCAGCGAUUUUGGUACGUGUGCGGUUCGGGAUGCCGGUGACUUCGGUCACUCGACACUCGUCUGCAUGUUUAUUAUUGCCUGAAUCGUCGGCGUGCACUUCUCCCCUAGUAGGACGUCGCGACCCGUUGGGUGUCGGUCUACGGCUCGGAUGGUAGCCUGUCUCGCGUGCGUCUCACGGCGUUUCGCGGGUCAGACCUUCGAUCGCCCGACCGGCUGCUCGGCGGUACUCGCACGGUAUCUGGCCGCAAAUAUUUGAACUGCGUCCGGCCCGUCGCAAGCGAGGCAAGUGUUCCCGGCUGUACGGAUUUAAUGCCGUCGCCGGGCCUUGACAGCUGUUGGUUGACGGUGUCCUGGGACUGGCCAACAAAAUUAUGAUACCGGUCGGCGACGCUACUGCUUUGGGUACUUUCAGGACCCGUCUUGAAACACGGACCAAGGAGUCUAACAUGUGCGCGAGUCAUUGGGAACUAUUAAACCUAAAGGCGCAAUGAAAGUGAAGGUCGGCCUUGCGCCGACCGAGGGAGGAUGGGCCGCGUCACGAUGCGGUCUCGCACUCCCGGGGCGUCUCGUUCUCAUUGCGAGAAGAGGCGCACCCAGAG
Molecule: ribosomal RNA, 638 nt
Filed under: Tamaulipeca sp. JM308
Lineage: Eukaryota; Metazoa; Arthropoda; Insecta; Hymenoptera; Ichneumonidae
Description: eukaryotic LSU rRNA
Rfam family: Eukaryotic large subunit ribosomal RNA
Source: RNAcentral